This 538-nucleotide ribosomal RNA is filed under the name uncultured Bifidobacterium sp. RNAcentral's name for it is "bacterial SSU rRNA". It matches the Rfam family "Bacterial small subunit ribosomal RNA", at positions 153 to 703 of the family's 1533-position model. The record is from RNAcentral. Lineage: Bacteria; Bacillati; Actinomycetota; Actinomycetes; Bifidobacteriales; Bifidobacteriaceae.
GAAACGGGUGGUAAUGCCGGAUGCUCCGGUUGGAUGCAUGUCCUUCCGGGAAAGAUUUCAUCGGUAUGGGAUGGGGUCGCGUCCUAUCAGGUAGUCGGCGGGGUAACGGCCCACCGAGCCUACGACGGGUAGCCGGCCUGAGAGGGCGACCGGCCACAUUGGGACUGAGAUACGGCCCAGACUCCUACGGGAGGCAGCAGUGGGGAAUAUUGCACAAUGGGCGCAAGCCUGAUGCAGCGACGCCGCGUGCGGGAUGACGGCCUUCGGGUUGUAAACCGCUUUUGAUCGGGAGCAAGCCUUCGGGUGAGUGUACCUUUCGAAUAAGCACCGGCUAACUACGUGCCAGCAGCCGCGGUAAUACGUAGGGUGCAAGCGUUAUCCGGAAUUAUUGGGCGUAAAGGGCUCGUAGGCGGUUCGUCGCGUCCGGUGUGAAAGUCCAUCGCUUAACGGUGGAUCCGCGCCGGGUACGGGCGGGCUUGAGUGCGGUAGGGGAGACUGGAAUUCCCGGUGUAACGGUGGAAUGUGUAGAUAUCGGGAA